RNAcentral lists this ribosomal RNA (116 nucleotides) under Pteropus alecto (black flying fox). The record is from RNAcentral. Lineage: Eukaryota; Metazoa; Chordata; Mammalia; Chiroptera; Pteropodidae.
GUCUACGGCCAUGCCCCACUGAACAAGCCUGAUCUCUGAUCUUGGAAGCUAAGCGGGGUCAGGCCUGGUUAGUACUUGGAUGAGAGACCACCUAGGAAGACCAGGUGCUGUCGGCA